UGGGGAAUAUUGGACAAUGGGCGAAAGCCUGAUCCAGCAAUGCCGCGUGAGUGAUGAAGGCCCUAGGGUUGUAAAGCUCUUUUACCCGGGAUGAUAAUGACAGUACCGGGAGAAUAAGCCCCGGCUAACUCCGUGCCAGCAGCCGCGGUAAUACGGAGGGGGCUAGCGUUGUUCGGAAUUACUGGGCGUAAAGCGCACGUAGGCGGCUUUGUAAGUUAGAGGUGAAAGCCUGGAGCUCAACUUCAGAAUAGCCUUUAAGACUGCAUCGCUUGAAUCCAGGAGAGGUGAGUGGAAUUCCGAGUGUAGAGGUGAAAUUCGUAGAUAUUCGGAAGAACACCAGUGGCGAAGGCGGCUCACUGGACUGGUAUUGACGCUGAGGUGCGAAAGCGUGGGGAGCAAACA
RNAcentral lists this ribosomal RNA (402 nucleotides) under uncultured bacterium. RNAcentral describes it as "bacterial SSU rRNA". It matches the Rfam family "Bacterial small subunit ribosomal RNA", at positions 355 to 774 of the family's 1533-position model. The record is from RNAcentral. RNAcentral also lists the same sequence under 1 other name.